CAGACAAGCCUAGCGUCUACAUGCACUGUACAGGCGACAUCGAUCACUGUUGCAUGUGAUGACACUUGAACAGCUAGUCCGCCUCUGGCGACACAGUCGACAGUCGGCUUCAUUUCGGAGUUGGCGUGGUAUCAGCGGAAAGAUGGGCCCGCAAUGAUUUUAGACCUACUCGUACAUCUACUAGUACGUGUUGAUGUGCACGAGUAGCACUGUACUUUUGUAGUGUGGAGCAGGCAGUAGAAUCUGAUGUCAUGUUGUACAGUCAUGUACAUAAUCUACGCGUAAAUCUACAACUUUUGCCAGAUCAGACAGAUGAAUGAAGCCACAGAGCUCUGGCCGCUGGAGCGUGCAGCGAACGUGUAGAGAGGAUCUUGGACUGCUGCACCGUCCGCGCUUCAGUUCAAUGCGGAAUCGUUUUUUUCUUGCUCGUUGCCGUCUGUAGGUGUUCUGGGCGGAUGCGUGUUCUGCUUGCGGCCCUUCAUUAUUGUUAUUUUCUGGGAGUUUGAGUGACGCUCCGUCGCAAUCCGGUUGCGGAAGUUCAGCGCUUUCGUUCGUUACCUGCCAAUCGGCAGGUGGCGUUUAGAUUUGUGGGACUACCUAUCGUCCGGGUCAACGUUACCAGAAUAGCAGACGCCGGACAAGAACCAUCCGGCCGCUUUCGGGAGCAGGUGCUUCUCCCUGGCUUGAAGUCAGAGUGGUGAAUGGAUGUCCAGUAAAUGCUGUGAUUGAUACAGGAUCCGCCGCUACAUUGUUGUCAGAGGAUUUUGCUGACCGCCUACCUAAGGAGCGGGAAAAGGAAACCUCAGACCAAGGCCCGAAGUAAAUUGGUGCCAACGGACAACCACCGCCGCCCGAGACGAGGAGGACACCGCUCGGGUAUUUGACAGUGCUCCGCCAGUUGGCGUGAUGGAAAGGCGAACCACGCGUUCCCGCCAUCCGCCCCAGCUGUUUGGGAGUCCUGUGUGGCACUAAUGAGUGACUUCAGUGGUACUGACUGGAUUGGUUGUGUUCUAUAUUAAAGUUAGUUUUUGGAACAAUUUUGGUAGGGACUCCAAUUUCACCUGCACUCGUGAAGUUAAAAUUGUUAGCCAUAAUCUUAGUUUAAUUUAUUAAGUUACGUAUAACACAAGGACGUGUUCUUUUCCGUGUAAGCGGGGGGAUAUGUCGUAUCCAUACUAUUGACACGUGCCUUUCAGGCCUCUACGUGACAAUUCUGCCUUAUUUAGGUGUCUCAUUAUUUAUUUAUCUCCCGUAAACGGAUUCAUAAUCGCCUUUAUUUUAUGUCUUCACACAAAGCCUGCCGCCUUCCUUAUUUGGUAUACCCUGUUAUUCCUUAGCUGGCUCCUGCUCUUUGUGAUACAGUUUAUACAUAUUAUUGCUAAGGUUUGGUACACUGCGGCAUGCGGAUGUACUAUGGUUCAUUAUUUGUCCUAUAGUUCGUAUGGGGGGGGGGGGGGAUCAGCCUCCUGCCCGUAGUUAGAUAUUAUAGCAAUCGCCUUUCUCUCUCUCUCUCUCUCUCUCUCUCUCUCUCUCUCUCUCUCUCUCUCUCUCUCUCUCUCUCUCUCUCUCUCUCCCUCUUGCCUUCCGCCUUCAGGCGGAAGCUUCGGCUUUCGUCUCUCUUGCCUUGUGCUCUCAUAUCAUCUCUUGAACUAAGUUGCCUUCGUUGAAGAUGUGAGUAAACCUGAA
Long non-coding RNA from Sycon ciliatum, 1686 nucleotides. RefSeq lists it as uncharacterized. The record is from RefSeq and is a predicted model, not a curated record. Lineage: Eukaryota; Metazoa; Porifera; Calcarea; Leucosolenida; Sycettidae. The transcript has 2 exons.